UGGCCGAGGUGACAGGAUUCGAACCUGCAUAAAGGAAUUUAGAAGACUCCUGCCUCUCCCUUAGACUACACCCCG
Molecule: transfer RNA, 75 nt
Filed under: Salmonella phage Shivani
Lineage: Duplodnaviria; Heunggongvirae; Uroviricota; Caudoviricetes; Demerecviridae
Also listed under: 1 other name
Description: tRNA-Arg
Source: RNAcentral